CUUUACUGUAGCCUGGUAUUGGGUUCGGGCUUUGACUGCGCAGGAUAGGUGGGAGACUGAGAAGUGUGCCUUGUGGGGCACAUGGAGUCAACGGUGAGAUACCACUCUGUCAGAGCUAGAAUUCUAACCUUCACCCGUAAUCCGGGGAAGGAACCGUAUCAGGUGGGCAGUUUGACUGGGGCGGUCGCCUCCUAAAAGGUAACGGAGGCGCGCAAAGGUGUUCUCAGGCUGGUUGGAAAUCAGCCGUAGAGUGUAAAGGCAGAAGAACGCUUGACUGUGAGAGUGAAAACGCAAGCAGGGUGGAAACACGGCCUUAGUGAUCCGAAGGUAUGCGCGUGGAAGUGCCGUCGCUCAACGGAUAAAAGUUA
Molecule: ribosomal RNA, 368 nt
Filed under: uncultured organism
Description: bacterial LSU rRNA
Rfam family: Bacterial large subunit ribosomal RNA
Source: RNAcentral